GAUCGAACGGCGUAGCUACAGGCUUAACACAUGCAAGUCGCGGGGCGAGCGAUAGGAGGGUUGCUUGCAAUUCUUGAUGGCGACCGGCGUACGGGUGAGUAACGCGUAUCCAACCUGCCCAUCACUACGGAAUAACCCGGUGAAAGUCGGACUAAUACCCUAUAUGCUCACGAGAGGCACCUGCCUUGGUGAGGAAAGAUUUAUCACUGACAGAUGGACAUGCGUCCCAUUAGCUUGUUGGUAGGGUAACGGCCUACCAAGGCAACAAUGGGUAGGGGAACUGAGAGGUUUAUCCCCCACAUUGGUACUGAGACACGGGCCAA
RNAcentral lists this ribosomal RNA (323 nucleotides) under uncultured bacterium. RNAcentral's name for it is "bacterial SSU rRNA". It matches the Rfam family "Bacterial small subunit ribosomal RNA", at positions 37 to 334 of the family's 1533-position model. The record is from RNAcentral.